RNAcentral lists this unclassified non-coding RNA (430 nucleotides) under soil metagenome. Its description in RNAcentral is "partial contains 5.8S ribosomal RNA, internal transcribed spacer 2, and large subunit ribosomal RNA". The stretch from base 1 to 120 matches the Rfam family "5.8S ribosomal RNA", at positions 35 to 154 of the family's 154-position model. The record is from RNAcentral.
GAUGAAGAACGUAGCGAAAUGCGAUACGUAAUGUGAAUUGCAGAAUUCAGUGAAUCAUCGAAUCUUUGAACGCAUAUUGCGCUCUCCGGUAUUCCGGAGAGCAUGCUUGUUUGAGUAUCAGUAAACACCUCAACUCCCUUUUCUUUUUUGAAAUUGGAGCUGGACUUGAGUGAUCCCAACGCUUUCUUCCAAGAAAGUGGCGGGUUGCUUGAAAUGCAGGUGCAGCUGAACUUUUCUCUGAGCUAUAAGCAUAUCUAUUUAGUCUGCCUAAAAAACAGAUUAUUACCUUUGCUGCAGCUAACAUAAAGGAGACUAGUUCUUGUGCUGACUGAUGCAGGAUUCACAGAGACAGCUUCGGCUGACUUUGUAAACUCGAUCUCAAAUCAAGUAAGACUACCCGCUGAACUUAAGCAUAUCAAUAAGCGGAGGA